Molecule: unclassified non-coding RNA, 329 nt
Filed under: soil metagenome
Description: partial contains 5.8S ribosomal RNA, internal transcribed spacer 2, and large subunit ribosomal RNA
Rfam family: 5.8S ribosomal RNA (bases 1-120)
Source: RNAcentral
GAUGAAGAACGUAGCGAAAUGCGAUAAGUAGUGUGAAUUGCAGAAUUCAGUGAAUCAUCGAAUCUUUGAACGCACAUUGCGCCCCUUGGUAUCCCGAGGGGCAUACCUGUUCGAGCGUCAUUUCACCACUCAAGCCUGGCUUGGUGUUGGGCGACGUCCCCUUUGGGGACGCGCCUCGAAACGCUCGGCGGCGUGGCACCGGCUUUAAGCGUAGCAGAAUCUUUCGCUUUGGAAGUCGGGGCCCCGUCUGCCGGAAGACCUACUCGCAAGGUUGACCUCGGAUCAGGCAGGGAUACCCGCUGAACUUAAGCAUAUCAAUAAGCGGAGGA